GACGAACGCUGGCGGCGUGCUUAACACAUGCAAGUCAUGGGGACCCGCAAGGGUAACCGGCGAACGGGUGCGUAACACGUGAGCAAUCUGCCUAAGAUGUGGGGGAUAGCCGGCCCAACGGCCGGGUAAUACCGCAUACGCUCUCCUGGUGGCAUCACCGGGUGAGGAAACCCUUCGGGGGCAUCUAGAGGAGCUCGCGGCCUAUCAGCUAGUUGGUGAGGUAAUGGCUCACCC
RNAcentral lists this ribosomal RNA (234 nucleotides) under uncultured bacterium. RNAcentral's name for it is "partial 16S ribosomal RNA". It matches the Rfam family "Bacterial small subunit ribosomal RNA", at positions 28 to 270 of the family's 1533-position model. The record is from RNAcentral.